Long non-coding RNA from Halichondria panicea, 1895 nucleotides. RefSeq lists it as uncharacterized. The transcript has 2 exons. The record is from RefSeq and is a predicted model, not a curated record. NCBI's taxonomy places the organism in Eukaryota, Metazoa, Porifera, Demospongiae, Suberitida, Halichondriidae.
UUUGAUAGUAACUAUACACAUGCAUUGUCAUGUUUUUUCGUCUGAUUUGCAGUUUGGUUGUUAUGACUUCCUGAUUUCCUGUGUUUUCUAUAUUUAUAUAGUCACUCAUUUGGAGAAAUUGUCAGUGCAGUGUAACUAUAGCCUAGCACUAUACACACAGCCAGCACGCAGCUUUUUCCAAAAGUACUCGACUGCAUAAGUUUGCAUCCAGUUGCUAAAGAGAAAAAUGAAGCUAUAUCAAGCAUUUGCAGUUUUCCUCGUACUGAUAGGUACAGGUAGUUGUACAGAUUUGUGCAGCGAGUAUGGUCAGUUCAAAAGGUGUAAGCAGAUUAUCGAUACGUUUGAAGAAGCCUUAAUCAAGGAAGAAUCAAACAUUUUUGCACUCAAUCAACUUUUUUUCUCAAGCAACCGAUAUCCAGCGUCCGACGCCGUGGUUAGUUAUCAUAUUAUCGUGUCUGGACAAGAUGAGAAUUCAACCGAUGGGAAUUCAACAUUUUUUGGUGUCAGAGGCUGGUGCAAUAACGCUGCAUACACAAUAGCAAGUCCUUUUAUGAUUGAGACACUCUUUACGGGACCCAUUGCCUAUCAUAAAGAAGUAAAUCAUCAGAUGUUAAUGCCAAGUAUCCUACACCUAAACAUAACAGGACACAACUUUAGUGCAGAUGAAAUCGAUUAUGCACUCGACUAUAUCACACCUUGGCUUAAAUUGUAUACAAAAGAAGCACAGUCAGGUCAUAUAACUUACAAGGAUGAAGAGAAAGCAUAUAUGUGUGAUGCCUACUCAUUUAACUGGAGUUUAACAGCGAUUACAAUUACUAUAACUAUAGCAGCAAUUUUCAUGUCGUGCAAGGUGCUGCAAUUUUUGCUGAAAGCCGAAUCAAAACGACCUGAGGUAAACAGGGCGGUGUUCUUUUCUUUUGGAAUUGUAGCUUUUUUUGUCAACAUUGCUGAUGUCUGUUUUCUUGUGCAUGCAGUAUAUAUCGAAUGCAUCGAAAUAAACGAUGAGAAAAGAAUAACAGACCAUACUGUUCUAAGUCAUGUGGUAAUUAAAGUAUUGGAGCUAGUUGUUGGCGUUGUUGGCAUUGCCGUAUUUAUUCUCGUUUUUUUUAUUGGUCUCUGCUGCUCAAAAGAUCUUCCACAACCACACCUACAUGUGUGCACAUCACCUUCAAGCUCAGCAACAAAAUAUUGCUGUUUCGCUUACAAAUGUGCUUCCUUCUUUUUUUUCUCUAAUUUCUUCUACUUCGCAUAUAUGGUUGGUCUAAACGUACUGCCAACAUUUUUGAUGCUGUUCAUUAUGCCAAUCGAAACACUAUCUGUACUGGUCUUCUAUGUGUCACUGUUGUCCAGUUGUGUAAUGGUAAUGACCAACAUCACAUACGAAAUUGAUAGUGAGAUCCAUAAAAGCGCUGAGGCGCGGGAUAAUACAAAAAAAUGUAUUACCAUCAUUUUUUCAGCUAUCAGUUACUUUUCAGUACUAAUUUCCAUUGUUUUGCUUGUGGUGGUAUUUCUGUUUAUAUUGGCUGAAACCACAAAUAGUAAUACACCAUAUCUUGCUACAGUUAUAAUAUCUCUUUGCUCCACAAUACUCGCCGUACUGGGUGGCUGUUUCACCCAGUAUAUAUUGUCAGAGAAGGACAAAAGUGACAAGGAAUCUGGUAGUCACCCACAAACAUCAUCAGAGAAGGACAAAAGUGACGAGGAAUCUGGUAGUCAAGAUACCUCUACAGCUACAGAAAACACCCCUCUUGUGAAUAGAAGUUAGAGAAAAACUUAGUUGAGACACUUAACUUGAACACACGCUAAACUUUUUUGUUGAAUUACGUUAUAUGUACGUAUGUAUAUACCAAUAAGCACUAGCUGCACUAUGUUACAUGAUUUUAUCGGACAUAAAA